Molecule: ribosomal RNA, 496 nt
Filed under: uncultured bacterium
Lineage: Bacteria
Description: partial 16S ribosomal RNA
Rfam family: Bacterial small subunit ribosomal RNA
Source: RNAcentral
AUGAACGCUGGCGGCGUGCCUCAUCCAUGCAAGUCGAACGAACAGACGAGGAGCUUGCUCCUCUGACGUUAGCGGCGGACGGGCGAGUAACACGUGGAUAACCUACCUAUAAGACUGGGAUAACUUCGGGAAACCGGAGCUAAUACCGGAUAAUAUAUUGAACCGCAUGGUUCAAUAGUUAAAGACGGUUUUGCUGUCACUUAUAGAUGGAUCCGCGCCGCAUUAGCUAGUUGGUAAGGUAACGGCUUACCAAGGCAACGAUGCGUAGCCGACCUGAGAGGGUGAUCGGCCACACUGGAACUGAGACACGGUCCAGACUCCUACGGGAGGCAGCAGUAGGGAAUCUUCCGCAAUGGGCGAAAGCUUGACGGAGCAACGCCGCGUGAGUGAUGAAGGUCUUCGGAUCGUAAAACUCUGUUAUUAGGGAAGAACAAAUGUGUAAGUAACUAUGCACGUCUUGACGGUACCUAAUCAGAAAGCCACGGCUAACUACGUG